RNAcentral lists this long non-coding RNA (5162 nucleotides) under Nicotiana benthamiana. RNAcentral describes it as "long non-coding RNA (NBEN_LNC007550)". Lineage: Eukaryota; Viridiplantae; Streptophyta; Magnoliopsida; Solanales; Solanaceae. The record is from RNAcentral.
AUUCAGAAUCAAAGUUUCUAACAUUUUCUCCUUUAGAAUCUUGUGCUGAGAAGAAAAAAGAACAAUAUUCAAAAGAAGUGACACGAUAGGAAGAAAGAGGUACCUUGGAGCUGCUUUAUCUACAUUAACUGUCAUUGCUAAUAUCCUUUGAGAUUGGAAGAUCUUCUGAGGAAGUGCCUUCUGACUUUCAAAGCAAAGAGCAGAAUUUCAUGUAAUGUUCUGUAUUUAGUUGUAUGAGCAUUUUAUUCAAGGACAGUAACACCUUAAGUGCUGUUGUGAUAUAUGUGUGUACAUACUUCAAUUUUUGUCUUUAGUUUUUCUUGUAAAUUAUCAUCCAGAUUGGUAAGAACGAGACAUUUUCAAGUACAUGACCUCCUACAAUUUUACGACAUUAACUCACCAAUCUAUACUUUUAACCAGCAAAAGAAACCAGUCGAUCACUAUGAUCCAGACUUGCUCAUUAAUUUCCUUUAAGUUUGAUGAUGAUGGCAUUCCAUCCAAGAAAUAAGUGGAAAACAAGUAGGCAAGUAAAAAUAGUGUUAAAAAUUCAAGAUAGAACCCCACAAACGACGGCACAUUGGAUGGUCUGAUGUCUUACCAAUACAAAGAACUCAAGAUAGAACUUAAUUGAAUUGUGUCUUUCCCGUAUCUGUAUCUCGUGCAUAGAGUGCACAAAAUUAUUUUAAUCGACCCUUAAAUCUCUGUUAAGCCAUAUAUACUCAUAUAUUGGGAUUUUGUUUCACAAAAGUUGGAGUACUUUGAUCAUUUGCUGGUAAGAGUUUUUGAACAUAUAGAUGAAAAUAAAAUGUACUUUCAAUUUUCAUCUUCAAUUACUGAUUGAGAAUAUAUUUUAUUUCUCUAAACCAUCCAAUAAUUUAGACUUUGUUCAUUACUGAUAUAAACAUAGUAAGUUAAAAGAUACUCAAUAAUCACGGCAUAACUAUAGAGCAACAUGCGCAGCUGAGAAAUUAUUAAAGCUUAUUGACGAGCUUUUUUAUGCACUAUAUAUGCAGGAGAAUAAAUGGAUUAAAUGAUGGGUUUGAUAAUUGAUGGUAUGUGUUAAGGAAAGAUUGCUACGGAUUUUGGAAGGUUAAUUACAUGUUGGAGAUGAUUUAAAAUUGGUUUGGGAGUUUAUUUUAAGCCUAAAAAGUGUAUUCUGUAUCGGUUCGGAUUUCUUGCUUUUGCAUAGUUGGUGCCACAUGUAUGUCAUUGGUCGGAAUUGACGUCAUUCGCGCCUUUGUAUAUGUUAUAUGUUUCUCUCUUUUACUAUGAUGGGUUUUGAGGCUUACAUGAUUCUUCACAUGCAUAUUGUGAUUAAGUUUAGGCCUCAUAAGCAUUGUGGGCAAGGUGUCCUUCGUUAUGUUGAUUUGCUUAUUGCACCAUAGUUGUGCUUGUCCUUCUUGGUAUUGUUUUAUUCUAAUCAUUUUUUCCCACAAUUAUAUUUUCGUGCACUCGGUUAUGCUUGAUAUUGACUCACAUGUGAUCAGUGAUCCCAAGUAUUAUGGCUCAAUGGGUACCCUAUGUGGAUUGAUAUGAUAAAAUCGGGUUGCACGCUGCAAUAGUAUAGUGAUGAAAUGUGGCUCCUUGUUCCUAUUUCCCGUAUUUCACUUUUACCUUGUUGAAAAUAGUUUAUAGUAAAAUGUUGAAAUUUCCUUACGUGCCUAACUUGCUUAGUAGUCUUUUUAUUUAGUUUUCUUACUGUUAACUGUCAUAUCUUAAUUAUUACUAGUUAUUGUACGAAACUAGGUUGUGUGGGGCUCUAUAUGAUUAUUGUUGAUACUUGUCGGUGUGGCUACUUGUAUUUGUUAACAUGAGGUUUCUAAACCUAAGAUUUGCGCUAUUGUAUUUGGAUGAGGAAGGUUUGGGAGAAUAACAUUAUAUUUUGUUGAGGAUUUAAAAUAUGGCCCUAGUCGGGCGAGUGAGUUUCUUGGAUUAUUGAUCCGAUGAGUGGUUAAGAAGUUAUGCUUGUUUCUUUCAUCAUCAGUAGGGUUUGAAGGUUUUGAAUGAGGUUCUAAUCGGUAUGAGGUUUCCUACCUGCACCAGAUUUGUUUUGGGCAGUAAUGGUGGUCAGCAGUUCCUACUGUACGUGUCGAAAUGAUGGGUUAUAUCAUGUGAUUACAUCUUGAGUUAUGUGUAUAACUUGACACAUCCUUUUUAGACUUAUACAAUGUGCAGAUAUGGGAUUCGUGUACUGUAAAGAAUUCAGGAUGAUAGAGAUUGAGUUCUAAGGUUUAAGGACCAAGGUUGAAACAAGGAUCUCUAGUUAUGUUGUGGUGGCUGACUUAUGUGGAUUAGGGUGACAUGGGAUCAUCCCUGAUUUUAUGCAUAGUAAGGUUAUACCGUGAUUUGAUAACAUUGAAACAACUCUUGGCACGUUUGAGGGAUAACGUGUGUUUAAGUAGUGGAAGAUGUAACGGCCCGACUGGUCGUUUUGAGUAUCUGCACUUCGAUCGGUGUUUUGAGGGCUUGAGUAUCUCCGCAUGAUGUAUUAUGAAUUUAAAGUUAUCCGUAAUUGAUUUGGAAGAAUGAACUUGAAGAUUUAAGCUUUAUGAUGGAAGAGCUGAUCAAGUAUGACUUUUUAGUAUUUAACCUUGCGAUGGAGAUUCUUUAAUUCCAUUAGCUAUGUUGGGUGACUUUAGACAUGUGAGCGCAUCCGGGUUGUAAUUUGGAGGUCCGUGGUUGAAUUAGCCUCUAAAUGUCGAAAGUUGGAUUUUUGGAAAGUUUGAAUGAGAGUGUGAUUCCGAAAGUUGGAAUAGGUCCGUAAUGACAAAUGUGACUUGCGUGCAAAAUUUAAGAUCAAUCGGGGGUGAUUUGAUAGGUUUCGGCAUUGGUGGUAGAAAUUAAAGUCUCAAACUUCACUGAUUUUGACUUGAGGUGUGAUUAAUUGUUUCGAGGUUGUUAUGCGUGAUUGGAAGCUUCAAGUAGGUUCCUUUUGUCAUAUGGAACUUGCCCACAAAUUUUGGCGCCAUUCGAUGUUGAUUUGUAUAGUUCAGAUGCUCGGUGGUGAUUCUAAAGUUUUUGAAGUCUAGUUUGAUCUUCAUGCAUUUUGGCGUCCAAUUCGUGGUUUUAGAAGUUAUUUUGAUUAUUUGAGCACGUGAGCGAGUUCAUGUUAUGUUUCUGGACCUAGGUGCAUGAUUGGUUUGGAGCCCUGAGAGCUCGGGUGAAUUUCUAAUUAGUUUCAAAAUAAUUUUUCAUAAUUUUUUAUUAGUGGUUUUUCUUGAUAUUGUUGAGUAUAGAUGCACACCCUUGGUACUUACCUUCUAUGUGAAAAUGACUUUAUUGGUACGUUAUUCGUCAGUGCGGUUAUGAGGUGUUAUGAGGGCAUACAAUGCCGAAUAAUAGGGUGCAAGUAUUAAGACCUGUCAGUUGUGAUUUGUCCGAGGUUCGGUACCUCGUGGUGUUUGUUUGACUAAAACCUAAUGUAAAAGCAAUUGUAAAUGUUGAGUUAUUAUUUGUCCUUGUUGUAUAUGUAGUUCUGAAUUUAUGUUGUGUUCCAUUCACCCUUCUGUGUCGUUAUUAUGAUACUUGUUGUUUCCUUCCUUAUUGAAAUUACUGUAUUGUUAGCCGUAUUGUGUAGUCUUUAUGUAGAUACCUUAUUUUGUUAUUCUUAUGUUUAUAUAUUGUUAAGUUUAUUAGACCAGUGGAUGUCUUAACUAUUUCCUCGUCACUACUCCACCGAGGUUCGUUUUGAUACUUAAUGGGCAUCGCCAUGGUGUGCUUAUUCUACACUUAUGUAUAUUUUUGUACAGAUAUGGGUAUUUGAUCGCUAGUAGCAGUGUGGACCAUUGCUGAGGAGACCCAAGGUAAACCUAUUGCUGCGUUCGCAGGCUUCAGAGUCACCUUCCUAUUUUUAUUCGCACUGUUUUCUACUUAUUUCCAAAUAGUUCUAUUUAAAAGUUGUAGCAAACUCUAUAAAGCUUAUGACUUGUACCAUUGGUUUUGAAAAAUUAUAAAUUUUGUAUAGUUUCUAUUUCGAGACUGUUACAUUUUUUUUUAGGCAAACCCCUAGGCGUAGCCUAGGGUUAUUUUAUUUUAUUAAUAACAGAGAAUUUGAAAAUACAUCAGGAGAGGUAUCUCUUGCUAAAUGAUAUUUGAUCAUCCCAGAGUUUAUAAAUACUCUGUGAUGAUAUUACAAUUGAGGAAAUGAAAAAAUACGACGAGACUACCGAUUUGUUGUCUGAUAUUCAUGUUGCAUUCCUCAUUCUUUGGGUAAAAAGCUUUUGUUUAGCAAUUCUCAUUGGUGGUCGUCUUAUGAUUGCAGCUUCUACCCUGCCGUCGCAACUUCUAUCUCUUUGACGCCCCUUCUUAGCUAUUUUAGCGUGCAUUGGUGACAAAUCUCCUUUUAUUGCAGCGUCUUUACGGCAUUGCGAUAGUAUCUCCUCUUCCUCUCCUUCUUCUAAUGUUUCUUCCAUAUCUUUCUGAGGAUGUCGCUGUCCAGUGUGUGUAUUUAUAAGCAGAUUUUGUUCGCUAUCCGAUAAUGCUUCUUUGUCAAGCUUUGCGAUUGCUACCAUUGAACUACCUGCUGCUGUCGUGGAUUUUGGGAUAUAGGCUGAAGCAUUACAGUUUAACUUGCUUUUUUGAAUUUCUCCAUUGUUUGAGUUUUCUGUGUUUUGCAUUUCUGCUUUCCAGAUUACCAUUGCAGAUUUUGUUUGAGAUUCCAUGUCUUCGCUUGAACUAUCGUAAUCGACUUCUUGAUCUUCUUCUGCUGCUGAGGAACCAGAAGAGUCUUCAUCCCACCUCUCGUCAUUAUCAAAAUGUCGUUGGUCCCAGAGCUUCGAUUUUAUUACCAUGUUCCUCAUAUUAGCUAAGAUUAGUUGUUUAUUCUCUUCAUUGAAAGUUGAGAAUUCUCCAUGAUCCUUCUUCUCAACAUAUGUAAAGGGGACUGGUGGAUAACUUUGGACAAUCUGAAUCUUCCCUCCAGUCAUUUUCCCAGUUGAGUUGGAUGCUGAUAUUAAUGCUGUUUUUGCAUCUGUGAUCUUGUUUCUGGAAUUGGAGUUGUUUUUGCAGCGGUGAUCUGAAGUUGUUUCUGUACAAGGCUGAGGAUGAGCAGAAAAAUCUUUGUGAAUUGUCUGUUUAUUUCUUCCUGUUGCCUGAGCUGAUAUAUUGGCAUUGUCCCUUUUGUUAUUCUUCUGUUUGAAAUUAAGAAUCUGUUUUCCAUUUAC